CGGAACCUCCAGGUUUUUUAUAUAGGUCCUUGCAUUUUCAAUUAUUGUUUCUGAAUUUAUUCCCGAAUAUUUAAUUAUAAGGUUAGGGACAUAUUAUGCUAGCUCAGAAUCUGGAAGUAACUUUGACGGAUGACAUUGAGAACUUAUUUGUCGAAUUCCUUUUGUUAUGAUAACCGAUAGGGAGCUCGACUAUUAGAUGACAGAUGAUUGAAAUUACCAAGUCCAAG
This 227-nucleotide unclassified non-coding RNA is filed under the name Hevea brasiliensis (rubber tree). The record is from RNAcentral. Lineage: Eukaryota; Viridiplantae; Streptophyta; Magnoliopsida; Malpighiales; Euphorbiaceae.